This 253-nucleotide ribosomal RNA is filed under the name uncultured bacterium. Its description in RNAcentral is "partial 16S ribosomal RNA". It matches the Rfam family "Bacterial small subunit ribosomal RNA", at positions 524 to 776 of the family's 1533-position model. The record is from RNAcentral.
UACGUAGGGGGCAAGCGUUAUCCGGAUUUACUGGGUGUAAAGGGAGCGUAGACGGCAAUGCAAGUCUGGAGUGAAAGGCGGGGGCCCAACCCCCGGACUGCUCUGGAAACUGUAUAGCGGGAGUGCAGGAGAGGUAAGUGGAAUUCCUAGUGUAGCGGUGAAAUGCGUAGAUAUUAGGAGGAACACCAGUGGCGAAGGCGGCUUACUGGACUGUAACUGACGUAGAGGCUCGAAAGCGUGGGGAGCAAACAGG